UACAGAGGUCUCAAGCGUUGUUCGGAUUCAUUGGGCGUAAAGGGCGCGUAGGCGGCAAGGCAAGUCGGGUGUGAAAGCUUGGGGCUUAACCCCGAAAGGGCACUCGAAACUGCGUUGCUAGAGGGCCGGAGAGGAGAUCGGAAUUCACGGUGUAGCAGUGAAAUGCGUAGAGCUCGUGAGGAAGACCGGUGGCGAAGGCGGAUCUCUGGACGGUCCCUGACGCUGAGGCGCGAAGGCUAGGGGAGCAAACGGG
This 253-nucleotide ribosomal RNA is filed under the name uncultured bacterium. RNAcentral describes it as "partial 16S ribosomal RNA". It matches the Rfam family "Bacterial small subunit ribosomal RNA", at positions 524 to 776 of the family's 1533-position model. The record is from RNAcentral.